GGUUUGAUUCUGGUCAGAUUGAACGCUGGCGGAUGCUUUACACAUGCAAGUCGAACGGCAGCACGGACUUCGGUCUGGUGGCGAGUGGCGAACGGGUGAGUAAUGUAUCGGAACGUGCCUAGUAGCGGGGGAUAAUCACGCGAAAGCGUAGCUAAUACCGCAUACGCCCUUCGGGAAAGCGGGGACCUCGGGCCUCGCACUAGAGCGGCCGAUAUCAAUAUUGCUGGUGGGGUAACGGCUCACCAAGGCGACGAUCCGUAGCUGGUUUGAGAGGACGACCAGCCACACUGGGACUGGACGACGCCCAGACUCCGAUGGAGGCAGUGGGGAAUUCGACAAUGGGGGAAACCCUGAUCCAGCCAUCCUGCGUGUGCGAUGAAGGCCUUUGGGUUGUAAAGCACUUUGGCAGGAAAGAAACGGCACGGGAUAAUACCCCGUGCAACUGACGGUACCUGCAGAAUAAGCACCGGCUAACUACGCCAGCAGCCAUAAGGUGUAGGGUGCAAGCGCGUUAAUCGGAAUGACGGCGUAAAGGCAGCAGGCGGUUCGGAAAGAAAGAUGUGAAAUCCCAGAGCUUAACUUUGGAACUGCAUUUUUAACUACCGAGCUUGUGAGUGUGUCAGAGGGAGGUGGAAUUCCGCGUGUAGCAGUGAAUGCGUAGAUAUGCGGAGGAACACCGAUGGCGAAGGCAGCCUCCUGGGGAUAACACUGACGCUCAUGCACGAAAGCGUGGGGAGCAAACAGGAUUAGAUACCCUGGUAGUCCACGCCCUAAACGAUGUCAAAUUAGCUGUUGGGGCCUCGGGCCUUGGUAGCGCAGCUAACGCGUGAAGUUGACCGCCUGGGGAGUACGGUCGCAAGAUUAAAACUUCCCAAAGGAAUUGACGGGGACCCGCACAAGCGGUGGAUGAUGUGAUUAAUUGAUGCACGCGAAAAACUCCACUACCCUUGAUAUGUCUGGAAUCCCGAAGAGAUUUGGGGAGUGCUCGCAAGAGAACCGGAACACAGGUGCUGCAUGGCUGUCGUCACCGUGUCGUGAGAUGUUGGGUUAAGUCCCGCAACGAGCGCAACCCUUGUCAUUAGUUGCUAUGAAAGGGUACCUAUGAGAUCGCUGUGACAAACCGGAGGAAGGUGGGGAUGACGUGUCAAGUCCUCAUGGCCCUUAUGGGUAGGGCUCCACACGUCAUACAAUGGUCGGGACAGAGGGUCGCCAACCCGCGAGGGGGAGCCAAUCCCAGAAACCCGAUCGUAGUCCGAUCGCAGUCUGCAACUCGACUGCGUGAAGUCGGAAUCGCUAGUAAUCGCGGAUCAGCAUGUCGCGGUGAAUACGUUCCCGGUCUCUGUACACACCGCCCGUCACACCAUGGGAGUGGGUUUUGACGAGAAGUAGUUAGCCUAACCGUAAGGAGGGCGAUUACCACGGUAGGAUUCAUGACUGGGGUGAAGUCGUAACAAGGUAG
Molecule: ribosomal RNA, 1459 nt
Filed under: uncultured Bordetella sp.
Lineage: Bacteria; Pseudomonadati; Pseudomonadota; Betaproteobacteria; Burkholderiales; Alcaligenaceae
Description: partial 16S-23S ribosomal RNA intergenic spacer
Rfam family: Bacterial small subunit ribosomal RNA
Source: RNAcentral